Long non-coding RNA from Dreissena polymorpha, 384 nucleotides. RefSeq lists it as uncharacterized. Lineage: Eukaryota; Metazoa; Mollusca; Bivalvia; Myida; Dreissenidae. The record is from RefSeq and is a predicted model, not a curated record. The transcript has 2 exons.
AAGACACUGAACUUCAUGUCACAUUCCAGUAUUCUGGGUCAUUGCUAUGAAUUCGUUUUGCAUUCAGCGCGUUUACGGACUUUAGCAGAACUGUAUUGCAAAUCCCAUGGAGGGCAACUGUUGUCCAUUGUGUCUGAAUUUGAAGACGAAUAUAUUUACCAGACUCUUGUGAACAAUGGUUUCAGAAACAGGACGUUUUGGGCUGGGAUAAUUACAACCAGGGAUGGUUACUUAUGGCUUGAUGGAUCCAGCACUCAACAACUUAUGUUCAUGUACAUGAAUGUGACAUCGCCGGGAAGAUGCUUUAUUUUAAAAGUAAAUGAACAUGAAACUAUUUGCAAAGAACCGAUUGUAAUUCGGAUUAUGAAUUUAUCUGCAAGUACA